GGUUGGACAGGAAUGAAAAGAGAACAUAGAGAUGAGACCAGAAAUGUGGACCUGCUGACCUUGGUAUUGUGGGAUCCUGACACAUACAUUCUCCAGAUUCACUGAGCUAUCACUGGGUGGGCUCUGAGGAGGUUCCUAUGAGGAAAAUAGGGACCUCAGCUUGCCGCCACCACCCACAGAGUAGGCUCAUAGAAUUUCAUCGCAGAAAAGAAUUCAUGACAUACCAAUGAGAAGCAGAAUUAAAUGUGUAUAUGCUCAAAGGAGAACAAUUCUGUGAGAUAUGCACUUCUACUAUCUGCAUUUCGAAGACACAGAAACUGAAGUGUGGAGAGAUGAAUCUGUUUGCCAGAGCCCUGCACCUUAUUAGAACUGUGCUCCCUGCCUACCAUCCAUCUCACAGUAACAGCAACCUCAUUUUGCUUCUUCUUGUGUCCCAUGAGGAAUUCUGUGAUAGCCUGGCCGAUUCUUCAGAAAGCUGCCUCUGUCAUUGGAUCAAGAGGUAAAAGUGGUAAACAUAGAAAACAACUGAAGAUAUUCCAAAGGAACACCCAGUAUGGCGAUUAGGAGACAGAACUUUGGAAACCGCACACUCUGGACUAACUCCCAGCUCUUCACCUCUUAGCUGUAUGAUCUUACGAAGUUGCAUAUUUAGACUCAGGUGAAUCAUCUAUAAAAUGGGGACAAUAAUUCCUAUCUCACAAUAUUAUGAAUAACGAAAAACUCAAUAAAAUGAGUUCAUAUGCAUAAAGUACUUAAAACUGUUUCCAGCAUAUUGAUAAUGCCCCUCUUAAUAAAUAAUCUAUUAUUCAAAUAUUUAUAUUAUCUAGAGCACAUGGGAUAGUGUUUCUACCUGUAAAUUUCAAUUCAAACUUCACAAUUAUAUUAACUCAUAAAGUCAAGCAUAGACUGCCGGUACAUCUCUCUUAGUUACUUUUCUCUUCUCUGAGAAAUACCUAACACCCAAAGUUAAAGGAG
Molecule: long non-coding RNA, 975 nt
Filed under: Heterocephalus glaber (naked mole-rat)
Lineage: Eukaryota; Metazoa; Chordata; Mammalia; Rodentia; Bathyergidae
Description: lncRNA (ENSHGLG00000037406.1)
Source: RNAcentral